GGAAACAAAGGUUCCAUAUAGCAUACUCCGACUUGAUUAGAACGAGGUUGAGUUCAGGCUUACUUCCUCUGAUAACACCCCUAAGAUGCGCAUCUGAAAUUUUUAGCAGAAUCACCACCCCAGUGAUAAUGGGUUGGUAAUAUUGUGUUUUAAGUUUUAAUAUGUUGUAUGAAGCUUAUAUGCACAUUACAUAAUGCAUAGCUGAUUUCAAAUCAUAGUCAAAACUAUGUCUCAUACUGGCAUAUAAGUGAUAAAUUGACCAAACUGCAAAAGAAAUAGAAAUAUCUUUAAAUCAAUAAUCCCACUUCUAUUCAGAACGUUUCUUGUUCUACUGUCAUUUAGAAAGGAUUAUGAAGCAGCAUGUGGAGAUAUUAUUAUACAUUCAUUAUUUAAGAUGUUACGACUUUAAGGGUUUGGGUUCUUAGAAAAAUGACCUAUUCUAUAUUUAUUGUUUUAUAUUUUGUUUGUAGAAAGUGCAACAUGAGUUGUUGG
RNAcentral lists this unclassified non-coding RNA (492 nucleotides) under Hevea brasiliensis (rubber tree). Lineage: Eukaryota; Viridiplantae; Streptophyta; Magnoliopsida; Malpighiales; Euphorbiaceae. The record is from RNAcentral.